This 587-nucleotide ribosomal RNA is filed under the name uncultured bacterium. RNAcentral describes it as "bacterial SSU rRNA". It matches the Rfam family "Bacterial small subunit ribosomal RNA", at positions 338 to 916 of the family's 1533-position model. The record is from RNAcentral.
CCUACGGGAGGCAGCAGUAGGGAAUCUUCCACAAUGGACGAAAGUCUGAUGGAGCAACGCCGCGUGAGCGAUGAAGGCCUUCGGGUCGUAAAGCUCUGUUGUUAGGGAAGAACAAGUACCGGAGUAACUGCCGGUACCUUGACGGUACCUAACCAGAAAGCCACGGCUAACUACGUGCCAGCAGCCGCGGUAAUACGUAGGUGGCAAGCGUUGUCCGGAAUUAUUGGGCGUAAAGCGCGCGCAGGCGGUUCCUUAAGUCUGAUGUGAAAGCCCCCGGCUCAACCGGGGAGGGUCAUUGGAAACUGGGGAACUUGAGUGCAGAAGAGGAGAGCGGAAUUCCACGUGUAGCGGUGAAAUGCGUAGAGAUGUGGAGGAACACCAGUGGCGAAGGCGGCUCUCUGGUCUGUAACUGACGCUGAGGCGCGAAAGCGUGGGGAGCGAACAGGAUUAGAUACCCUGGUAGUCCACGCCGUAAACGAUGAGUGCUAAGUGUUAGAGGGUUUCCGCCCUUUAGUGCUGCAGCAAACGCAUUAAGCACUCCGCCUGGGGAGUACGGCCGCAAGGCUGAAACUCAAAGGAAUUGACGG